This 1026-nucleotide long non-coding RNA is filed under the name Trifolium pratense (red clover). Its description in RNAcentral is "long non-coding RNA (TPRA_LNC013331)". Lineage: Eukaryota; Viridiplantae; Streptophyta; Magnoliopsida; Fabales; Fabaceae. The record is from RNAcentral.
CCAUAUCAAAACCAUUUCCCAUGGCUGAAUCACUCCUCUUUGGUCUUGCUGAGUCAUUCAUCGCUAAGAUUGCUUCUCGUGCUGUUCAAGAAGCAUCUCUUGCUCUUGGUGUCUAUGACGAUCUACGAGAUAUCAAAAACACCGUAUCACUCAUCAAAGCUGUGCUCCUAGAUGCCGAACAAAAGCAGCGGCAGAAUCAUCAACUCCGUGAAUGGCUGCGACAGAUCAAGCGUGUCUUCAAUGAUGCAGAAGACAUAAUUGAUGAUUUUGAGUGCGAGGUAUUAAGAAAGCACGUUGUCAACACUUCAGGUAGCUUCACAAGGAAGGUAUGUCGUUAUUGCUCAAGUUCUAAUCCUAUUGUUUAUCGCAUUAAAAUGGCUCAUCAAAUCAAAGAUAUUAAAGAAAGAUUCAAUAAGGUUGCUGUUGAAAGGCUUAAUUUUGGCCUUCAAAUCAAUGAAANNNUUGGCCUUCAAAUCAAUGAAAGUGAUAAUCGCAUUGUGCAAACGCGGGAAAUGACUCAUUCCCAUGUCAAUGAAUCCGAUGUGAUCGGAAGGGAACAUGACAAACAAAAAAUCACUGACCUCUUAUUGCAAGAUGGUGGUGAUAAAAAUCUCUCUGUUAUUCCUAUUGUUGGAAUUGGAGGCUUGGGAAAGACUACUCUUGCAAAAUGUGUAUGUAAUGAUAAGAGUGUAGUUCAGUCUUUUCCAUUGAAGAUGUGGGUAUGUGUUUCUGAUGAUUUUGAACUUAAGCACGUGCUCCUAAAACUCCUUUACUCUGCUAGUGCUUUUGAUCCCAGCCCAAUUCACCAAGAGAACUUCAGAAACUUCGAUGUGGACCAACUACAAAAUCAUCUAAGAAACAUACUUGCUGGUCAAAAGUUCUUGCUCAUAUUGGAUGAUGUAUGGAAUGAGGAUCGUUUUAAAUGGGAAGAAUUGAAAGACAUAAUACAAGGAGUCACAGGUGCUGAAGGAAGUAAAGUCUUAGUGACUACUCGCAGCCACACUGUAGCUAACAUGAUGGGUACUU